UUGCUUUGGCAGCAUAUAUAUUAAAUUAAAUUGAAAUGAUACAGAGAAGAUUAGCAUGACCCCUGCACAAGGAUGACAUGCAAAUCUGUGAAAUGUUCUAUAUUUUU
Arvicola amphibius (Eurasian water vole) is the source of this 107-nucleotide small nuclear RNA. NCBI's taxonomy places the organism in Eukaryota, Metazoa, Chordata, Mammalia, Rodentia, Cricetidae. The record is from RefSeq and is a predicted model, not a curated record.